GUACACUCCUACGGGAGGCAGCAGUGGGGAAUUUUGGACAAUGGGCGAAAGCCUGAUCCAGCAAUGCCGCGUGAGUGAAGAAGGCCUUCGGGUUGUAAAGCUCUUUUGUCAGGGAAGAAACGGUGAAAGCUAAUAUCUUUUGCUAAUGACGGUACCUGAAGAAUAAGCACCGGCUAACUACGUGCCAGCAGCCGCGGUAAUACGUAGGGUGCAAGCGUUAAUCGGAAUUACUGGGCGUAAAGCGUGCGCAGGCGGUUUUGUAAGUCUGAUGUGAAAUCCCCGGGCUCAACCUGGGAAUUGCAUUGGAGACUGCAAGGCUAGAAUCUGGCAGAGGGGGGUAGAAUUCCACGUGUAGCAGUGAAAUGCGUAGAUAUGUGGAGGAACACCGAUGGCGAAGGCAGCCCCCUGGGUCAAGAUUGACGCUCAUGCACGAAAGCGUGGGGAGCAAACAGGAUUAGAUACCCGUGUAGUCCCAUGAU
This 479-nucleotide ribosomal RNA is filed under the name uncultured organism. RNAcentral describes it as "partial 16S ribosomal RNA". It matches the Rfam family "Bacterial small subunit ribosomal RNA", at positions 331 to 801 of the family's 1533-position model. The record is from RNAcentral.